UGCAAGUCGAGCGGAAACGAGUUAUCUGAACCUUCGGGGAACGAUAACGGCGUCGAGCGGCGGACGGGUGAGUAAUGCCUAGGAAAUUGCCCUGGUGUGGGGGAUAACCAUUGGAAACGAUGGCUAAACCGCAUAAUACCUACGGGUCAAAGAGGGGGACCUUCGGGCCUCUCGCGUCAGGAUAUGCCUAGGUGGGAUUAGCUAGUUGGUGAGGUAAUGGCUCACCAAGGCGACGAUCCCUAGCUGGUCUGAGAGAUGAUCAGCCACACUGGAACUGAGACACGGUCCAGACUCCUACGGGAGGCAGCAGUGGGGAAUAUUGCACAAUGGGCGCAAGCUGGAUGCAGCCAUGCCGCGUGUGUGAAGAAGGCCUUCGGGUUGAAAGCACUUUCAGUCGUGAGGAAGGUAGUGUAGUUAAUAGCUGCAUUAUUUGACGUUAGCGACAGAAGAAGCACCGGCUAACUCCGUGCCAGCAGCCGCGGUAAUACGGAGGGUGCGAGCGUUAAUCGAAUUACUGGGCGUAAAGCGCAUGCAGGUGGUUUGUUAAGUCAGAUGUGAAAGCCCGGGGCUCAACCUCGGAAUAGCAUUUGAAACUGGCAGACUAGAGUACUGUAGAGGGGGGUAGAAUUUCAGGUUAGCGGUGAAAUGCGUAGAGAUCUGAAGGAAUACCGGUGGCGAAGCGGCCCCCUGGACAGAUACUGACACUCAGGAUGCGAAGCGUGGGGGAGCAAACAGGGUUAGAUACCCUGGKAGUSCACGSCGAAACGA
This 768-nucleotide ribosomal RNA is filed under the name Vibrio sp. Pc243. Its description in RNAcentral is "bacterial SSU rRNA". It matches the Rfam family "Bacterial small subunit ribosomal RNA", at positions 56 to 809 of the family's 1533-position model. The record is from RNAcentral. Lineage: Bacteria; Pseudomonadati; Pseudomonadota; Gammaproteobacteria; Vibrionales; Vibrionaceae.